RNA transcript from Drosophila miranda, 3232 nucleotides. It is a transcript of the gene named coiled-coil domain-containing protein 93-like, with no coding region annotated. The transcript is spliced from 5 exons. Lineage: Eukaryota; Metazoa; Arthropoda; Insecta; Diptera; Drosophilidae. The record is from RefSeq and is a predicted model, not a curated record.
AACUUCGCUUAAAUUCUUCAAGAUUUAAAAUUUUCGUGGAGUGAAUUUUUAAUUGUGGUUGACAACGGGCUAAUCGUUCUCUGUCCUUAAUUUAAUAGUGCUGCCAUACAGUUUUUGAGACCAGGCUGCCAUACCGCAACCACUUGCAGCACUAUAUUCGAUGUAUUCGAUAUAAUUCGAUAAUAUGUUGAUAUUUGGUUUUAUAAUUUUUUGCUGAUAACUCGCUUGUUUUCAUAUUUGUGGGUGGAACUUUGCCUCAUUUGGCAUACUUGAAGUUCCUUGGCACCAGUCAGCUGAACGUUUCAUGGCUAACCGUGAUGUAUUCUCAAAAAUCCUGCCAAAUGUCAAGUUGGCCACUCGAUACGAUGAAGACGGACGCGAAGUUCAGGUGGAGAGUCGCGAGGACUCGGAUGCGACAGCAAAGCAGCAGGACACUUUCGACAUUCUAAUGGACGCCGGCUACUAUCGGGCCCGCAUCAAAGGCCUGUCCGCCUUCGACAAGGUUGUGGGCGGCAUGACUUGGUGCAUCGAAUGCGCCGACUAUGACGAGGACGUGGAUCUGCUUUUCCACGAAAGUCUAUCGAUUGGCCAAAAAAUAGCUCUCGUGGAAAAGAUUGUUUCGGUUCUGAUCGAUAUGAAGUGUCCACAUAGCUUGGAGCCGCAUCCGGUGCAGGGUCUGGAGUUUUUAGCCAUUCAUCCCGUCAUCCAGUGGCUAGUGAAGACUUCGGUGGAAAAUCGAGCUGUGCGUGGACAGCGCUUGAAGAAAUUUGCCAUUGGAGUGUUCCACAAUCAUUAUCAGUAUAAAAGCGACAAAGACAAUUUGACCAAAAUACGUUGUUUGCUCCAGUUAGACAGUCUUCAACAUAGAAAUCGGUUUUUAAUGUUGUUGAUCCUACUGGUAGUCUGUCUUUGUAUUGUAUUGCCAAAUGAUCCAGACAUUUCGUUGCUAGGAACGGAGCAGCUGUUGUCCCAUAUGUUACUGUUUUCAGGCGAUAGUACCUGAUCUCUUCGGAUGGAUUGUUUCUCCAGACUAUCAUCUGAUGGAAUUGAUCCUCCGGAUUCAUCCACACUUGCCGGUACAUCUUUUCUAUGUCCGCUGUGAAUACGUACUUAUGAAUUCGAAAUCGUAGCAGAAUGGACAUAAGUUCGCUCUGAACGGUGGGUCCAGCCUGCAGAAUGUCGUUCAAAGAUUACCCGCUUGUUGAUUUGCAUGAGGCAUCGAAUACUACCCGAAGCUUUGUGGUGGUGCUCUCAGGUUUGAGUACACAAUGAUGUGGAAUGAAGUAGUGCCUUUUGGGAACUUUUGAUGCUGGCACAAUAUUCAUAUGUCCUAGUCCUUCAUACUCUUCCAUGAAGUCCAGCUCUUCCAAGUUUCCAACGACUCCCACAGGGCUGAAGGGUGUUCGGAAAAUGGGAGCUUUAGAAUAAAACGGCCGUCUGAAGCUGUCUGAAGAUUUUCUAUAAAAUGAGCUUCGCACCGUGCUUCCACUGGAGUGCGUGGUUUGUCUUCCGUCUCUAGAUUGUCCAGAGUCCAGAAUCUUUCCAUGAGCUCGUUUACUCCCGUUGCACAAAUGGGUGAGGAAUUGUGGGCAGAUUUGACUUUUCCUGCCACAAUCCAUCCCAGUUUCGUGUUUUGUUGCAACGGGCCUCCUGUCCUUAGCUGCUGUUGAUCUGGUAGCAGCAGCGAGUAGUAAUGGUCGGCUCCGAUUAGCAUGUCGAUUUUGCCUGGCUUAUGGAAGUUUGGAUCUGCCAGUGAGAUCUUGCUUGGUACGUUUAAGCUCUCUGAAUCGAGUGCCUGAGCUGGUUGAUCAGCUAUAAUCUGUGGUAAUACGAAAGCUUCAAUUCUUUGCGUAAAACCAUUGUGAAGGUAUUUCAUGAGCACAUUUACUCGUGCUCUGCUGGUCUUUGAUUGACCUCCAAUUCCUUCGAUCCGUAAUGUUGUGUCUUUUAGUUUAAGUGACAACAUUGAUGCUAUUCGUUCAGAGAUCAAGUUUAUCUGUGAUCUUGAAUCUAGCAGUGCUCUGAAAUUAGCAACCUGCCAGUUGUUGGCUUCUACUGCCACCUUUGUUGUGGCCAGAAGAUUGUAACUAUUGUUACUUGCUGCACCAACCGUCGGGCCUCUUGAUUAUGUAGCUGCGCCUGAUGCUGUUUCCAAAUGUAGCAUCGUGUUGUGCUUCUUGUCACACUUGAAGCUGUUUCGACCAGGGCAUGCGUUUGUUUUGUGAUUUGUUCUAAAACAAUUAACGCACAUUUUUUGUUUUUGUACCCAAUUUAGUCGUUCUGAUGGAGAUUUGGAGCGAAAUUCUUCGCAUCCGUAGAGCCAAUGGCUUGCUUUCUUGCAGAAUGUGCAUAAGGGUGCUCGGGCUCUCCCUGUGUUUGCGGAUGCAUAUGUCGUGCAUUUUGGCUCUCUCCUUGAUGCUGGUGGCUUCUUACUGGUUCCUAGAACCCGAAUUCUUUGCUCCAAGAACUGAAGCAUCGUAUCCAGCGCCUGAAUGUCCUUUGAGCUUCCCAAUGAUUGCUCAUACAAGGCCUCAUUUGUUACAUCCAGUUUGUUUCUGAUAAUGGCAAUCAAUAUCGUAUCCCAUGUAGAUAUAUUGAUGCCCAAUCCCUUUAGUGAUGCAAGCGAUUCUAUGGUUGUUAUAUACAACUCUUUUAAUGACUUGGGAUCGUCAUUAAUUGUUUGGUGAUUGAGGAAGCGGUUCAGUACCGUGUUCGAAACAUCUCUGGGAUUGUUGUAUGCGUCAACUAGUAUUUCCCAAGCGGCCUCAUUAUUUUCUUCCUUUAGAUCGUUGCCUCGCCGGUAACGGUGGUUUUAAGAUACCACAUCUUUUUCACCGUAGGCAUGUUGGUCUCAUGCACCAUGCAUGAGAACAGAUCGAAGAACUGGGUCCAUUUUAAUAGAUCCCCAUCAAACUUUGGGAUGCUGAUGCGUGGAAGCUGCACGUUAUCCGUGUUUGGUGUGGCUGAUAUUGCCAAUGCUCUUUGGACCUUACUUUCCAGUGUUAGGUAGGAUUCCAUGUCAUAUCCUCCUUCCACUGGGUCCUCGUAUUCCUCAUGAAUUGUGAAGUGGACUUACUGCGCUUGAGUCCAUAGUGAUUUUAUCAAAUCACUUGAUGUGCGUCCUUCCGCCUCUGAAGGUUGUUUCACAUUGCGUUUAACCAAAGACUAUACAAUACGAAGAUGUCGCAUGAGGAACAAAUGCUUUUUCAAUUUUCGUUUGACGCUUCAUCGU